AGAGUUUGAUCCUGGCUCAGGAUGAACGCUGGCGGCGUGCUUAACACAUGCAAGUCGAACGAAGCGCUUUGACGGAACUCUUCGGAGGGAAGAUAAAGUGACUGAGUGGCGGACGGGUGAGUAACGCGUGGGUAACCUGCCUUACACAGGGGGAUAACAGUUAGAAAUGACUGCUAAUACCGCAUAACCCGCUAGUACCGCAUGGUACGGACGGAAAAGAUUUAUCGGUGUAAGAUGGACCCGCGUCUGAUUAGCUGGUUGGCAGGGUAACGGCCUACCAAGGCGACGAUCAGUAGCCGGCUUGAGAGAGUGGACGGCCACAUUGGGACUGAGACACGGCCCAAACUCCUACGGGAGGCAGCAGUGGGGAAUAUUGCACAAUGGGGGAAACCCUGAUGCAGCGACGCCGCGUGAGUGAAGAAGUAUUUCGGUAUGUAAAGCCCUAUCAGCAGGGAAGAAAAUGACGGUACCUGACUAAGAAGCCCCGGCUAACUACGUGCCAGCAGCCGCGGUAAUACGUAGGGGGCAAGCGUUAUCCGGAUUUACUGGGUGUAAAGGGUGCGUAGGUGGCUUGGCAAGUCAGACGUGAAAACCCGGGGCUUAACUCCGGGACUGCAUUUGAAACUGUCGGGCUGGAGUGCAGGAGAGGUAAGUGGAAUUCCUAGUGUAGCGGUGAAAUGCGUAGAUAUUAGGAGGAACACCAGUGGCGAAGGCGGCUUACUGGACUGUAACUGACACUGAGGCACGAAAGCGUGGGGAGCAAACAGGAUUAGAUACCCUGGUAGUCCACGCCGUAAACG
This 800-nucleotide ribosomal RNA is filed under the name uncultured bacterium. RNAcentral describes it as "bacterial SSU rRNA". It matches the Rfam family "Bacterial small subunit ribosomal RNA", at positions 8 to 808 of the family's 1533-position model. The record is from RNAcentral.